Molecule: long non-coding RNA, 29690 nt
Filed under: Vigna radiata
Lineage: Eukaryota; Viridiplantae; Streptophyta; Magnoliopsida; Fabales; Fabaceae
Description: long non-coding RNA (VRAD_LNC014657)
Source: RNAcentral
UUAGAGUUGUGCUUGCUGAUGCCGAGAAGAGACAAAUCACAGACUCCAAUGUCAAAGAGUGGCUCGAUCUUCUCCGAGAUGUUGUCUAUGAGGUUGAUGACUUACUUGAUGAAAUUUCUACUAAAGCUGCUACUCAAAAGGAGGUAAGCAAUUCAUUUUCUCACUUUUUCAAAUCGAAGAAGAUUGUUAGUAUUACUAAGUUGGAAGACAUAGUUGAAAGAUUAGAUGACAUUUUAAAACAAAAAGAGAGUCUUGAUUUGAAGGAGAUUCCCGUGGAGAGCUACCAGCCAUGGAAAGCUCAGCCAACAUCUUUGGAAGAUGGAUAUUCUAUGUAUGGUAGAGAUAAAGAUAAGGAGGCCAUAAUGAAGAUGGUGUUAGAGGAUAGCACCAAUGGUGAAACAGUGUCUGUGAUCCCUAUUGUAGGCAUGGGUGGGGUUGGAAAAACAACUUUGGCAAGAUCUGUGUUCAACGAUGGCAAAUUGAAGCAGCAGAUAUUUGAUGUAAAGGCAUGGGUUUGUGUUUCUGAUAUAUUUGAUAUUGUGAAGGUCACAAGAACCAUGAUAGAGGAAAUUACCCGAAAGCCUUGUAAAUUGAAUGAUCUAAAUGCUCUUCAACUUGAGUUGAUGGACGAACUGAAGGGUAAAAGAUUAUUCAUUGUCUUGGAUGAUGUUUGGAUAGAGGAUUGUGACAAUUGGAGUAGUCUUACAAAACCAUUUCUAAGCGGGAAUAAGGGGAGUAAAGUUGUGAUCACAACCCGCAAUGAAAAUGUAGCGGCUGCAGUGCCUUUUCAUACUGUUGAAGUAUAUCAUCUAAACAAAUUAUCAAAUGAAGAUUGUUGGUUGGUGUUCGCAAACCAUGCAUUUCCUCCCUCAGAAACCAGUGAGACUAGAGGAACUCUAGAAAAGAUUGGAAAACAGAUUGUUAAAAGGUGCAAUGGGUUGCCGUUAGCGGCACAGUCACUUGGAGGAAUGUUGAGAAGAAAGCAGACUAUUAGAGAUUGGAAUAAUGUUCUUCAAAGUGACAUUUGGGAACUUCCUGAAAAUCAGUGUAAAAUUAUUCCAGCACUCAGAAUCAGUUAUAAUUAUCUCCCUCCACAUUUAAAACGGUGUUUCGUUUAUUGCUCAUUGUACCCCAAAGAUUAUGAAUUUGAAAAAGAUGAACUGAUCCAGAUGUGGAUUGCUGAAGAUCUUGUAAAAGCAGCGAAAAAAGGAAAGACUUUAGAAGAAGUUGGUCAAGAGUAUUUUGAUGAUUUGGUUUCGAGAUGCUUUUUUCAAUCUCCAAGAUGGAGUGAGGGUGGUUACUUUGUAAUGCACGACCUCAUUCAUGAUCUAGCAACAUUUCUUGGUGGGGACUUUUAUUUCAGAACAGAUGAACUUGAGAAAGAAACCAAUAUCGACAGAAAGACUCGUCAUUUGUCAUUAACAAGAUUCAGUGAUCCAGUCUCGGAUAUUGAAGCUUUUGACACAGUAAAAUUUGCAAGAACUUUCUUGCUAAUCGAUUAUAAAGAUUCCCCAUUCAACAACGAAAAGGCACCGCUUAUUAUAGUGUCAAGGCUUAAGUAUUUGAGAGUUUUAUCGCUUUACAAAUUCCAAAGUCAACUUGCUCUGCCUGAUUCAGUUGGUGAAUUGAUACAUUUGCGUUAUCUAAAUCUCUCUUAUACAAGUAUAGAAACUCUGCCGGAGUCACUGUGUAAUUUGUGCAAUCUACAAACUUUGAAGUUGUCUAGUUGCUCAGAAUUGACUAAGUUGCCUAGUGCCAUGCAAAAUCUUGUAAACUUGCGUCAUCUUGAAAUUCUUGGUACUUCCAUAAAAGAGAUGCCUAAAAGAAUGGGGAAACUAAAUAAAUUACGCAACUUGGAUUGUUAUGUUGUGGGCAAGCAUACAGAGAAUAGCAUCAAAGAACUGGGAGGACUUCCAAAUCUCCAUGGUAUGUUUUCUAUUGAGAAAUUAGAGAAUGUUACCAAAGGCGAAGAAGCAUUAGAGGCUAGGAUAAUGGAUAAGAAUCAUAUUAGCCAUCUAUCCUUGGAAUGGUCUAUAGAUAACGAUAAUAGCAUCGACUUCCAAGUUCAGUUAGAUGUACUGAGCAGGUUAGAACCUCACCAAGACCUGAAAAUGUUGUCAAUUCACGGUUAUAAAGGAACCAGAUUUCCGGAAUGGGUGGGGAAUUUUUCCUACCGCUUCAUGACACAUAUAUAUUUACGUAAUUGUAACAACUGUUGCAUGCUUCCUUCACUUGGGCAACUACCGUCUCUCAGUCACCUUGGUAUUUCAAACAUGAAUGUGAAGACUAUUGAUGCAGGCUUUUAUAAGAAGGAUGAUUGUUCAUCUGUGACGCCCUUUCCAUCCCUUAAACAUCUAAGCAUUUAUCAUAUGCCUUGUUGGGAGGUGUGGAAUGCAUUUGAUUCAGAAGCUUUUCCUGUGCUUAAGUUUCUUUGUAUAGAAGAAUGCCCCAACCUAAAGGGAGAUCUGCCAAAUCACCUUCCCGCUCUGCAAACACUCCGCAUUAGAAAUUGCGAGCUUCUUGACUGUUCUGUCCCAGGGCCUCGCACCCUUCGAACAUUAGAGAUACAGAAAUGCAAGACAGUAGCGUUUCAUGAGUUUCCACAUUUGGUGAGACGUAUAGAUGUAGAAGGAGGCCCAAUGGUGGAGUCCAUGAUGGAGGCCAUCUCUAACUUCCAACCUACUUGCCUGUACUUUUUGAGAUUACGAAAUUGUUCGUCAGCCAUAUCUUUUAGAGGUGGUCGUCUUCCUGCGUCUUUGAAAAUUCUUGAUAUCACAGGUAUAAACAAACUGAAAUUCCCGUUGCAAGACAAACACGAAUUACUGGAAUCACUUUCAAUAUAUAAUAGUUGUGAUUCGCUCACGUCUCUUCCAUUGGCCAUCUUCCCAAAUCUCACUAGUCUUCGAAUCACAAACUGUGAAAAUAUGGAAUCACUUUUGGUCUCAGGGUCAGAGAUUUCGAAGAGACUGGAGUCUUUUGAAAUUCGCCACUGUCCCAACUUUGUAUCAUUCCCGGGAGAAGGAUUUUGUAUGCCCAAUUUGACUAGGUUCCGUGUUUAUAAUUGUGAAAAGUUGAAAUCGUUGCCCGAUCAGAUGGGAACUCUUUUCCCAAAGAUGGAAUAUCUUUACAUAUCAAACUGUCAACAAAUUGAGUCAUUCCCUGGAGGAGGUAUGCCACCUAACUUGAGAACAGUUAAUAUAAUAGAUUGUGUGAAACUACUGAGCAACCAAGCAUGGGUAUGCAUGGACAUGGUUACCUCUCUCAAUGUGUGGGGUCCAUGUGAUGGAAUCAAAUCCUUCCCAAAGGAGAGUUUGCUGCCUCCCUCCCUUGUGUCUCUAGAUCUAUUUAAUUUGUGUAGUCUGGAAAUGUUGGAUUGCAAGGGCCUUCUCCAUCUCACAUCACUCCAAGAAUUAAACAUUAGAAGCUGUCAAAAGCUGGAGAAUAUUGCGGGAGAAAAGCUGCCUCUCUCUCUAAUAAAAUUAACGAUUGAUGAAUGUCCCUUGCUGAAACAACGAUGCCACAAAAAGGAUCGUCAAAUUUGGCCUAAAAUCUGCCAUGUCCGUGGAAUAAAGAUUGACGGUAGAUGGAUUUAACGAGCAUGGAUGAUGAGAAGGUAAUUCUCCUUAUGAGUAGGUAACCAUGAAAAACUAUUUUUGUCUGUUAUCUUUCAUUUCUUGUCUUUAUCCUUUCAAAUUUAACUUAAUUUAUAUUGCAAUGAACCAGUCUUAAAUUAGUUAAUUGCAGUUUCAUACUUGACUGGAUUUGCAAGUGUGAAGGAAAGCUAACAUUUUGUAUAUAUGUUAUUUAGCGUGAGCAUUCAUGUCAUUUUCGAUUAAACGUAGUCACUGCAGAAGUGAGUAAUGGUCUUUUAUUUUUCUUAACAGUUUGUUUCUUUGUGGUCAGUGUCAAGAUUCUUCUUAGUACUAUAGUGAAUAUGGGAGACAGAUAAUUUUCACUGAAAUUGCAUUUAAAGGGGGUAAAUUGAAUUAAUGUUAUCCAUUAAUGUUUUCUAAACACAAGUUUAAGAUUGUUUUCUAUAAAAUUAAUCAAACAGCUGGUUGAGGUCAAAAUUAAAUUCAUGACUAGAAGGGUGGUAUUUGUUUUUCAGGCAUGCUGGAUUGGCUUGGUGAAACUGCACCUGUCCAUUGUAAUGUACUGCCCUCUACGAGUCAUCACUUUUGUGUUUGACUUAUGGAUUUGAGUUGAAUUCAUCUGAAAGCUAUAUCAUAGCAUGCAGAGGUUGAAUUUGUCAUUGUGUGUAUUAUGCAUUCGAAAUGCUGAAUAUUGACUGUAUAUGUUGAAAGGAGUGAAUCCCAUCUCAGAACUACUGCUCUGCACUCACUCCAAUGCACUGAUUGGUAAAUAAGUCCUGGCCAAAGGCCGGUGAACCAACUCAUCGAUUGCACCUCAGGUGAUUUGAAAGGAUAAAUAAAUUACAGUAUAUUAGUUUUAGGAGAAUUUUCAAAGAAAGAAUUAACAGGGAAAUAAAGAAAAGACAAAAAAUUGGACAGUCUUCUUUUAAACCAAGAUAUUAUUCAAAAGAGAAAUAAAACUGCAGCAAACUUCUUCAUAUUCUGUUAAAGGAAGUCAUUGUAAUUUGAAUGAGUUGUUACAAAGGUGGACUAAACCUUCUCACAUUCUUUUAUUCACCUCUCACCCAUUAUUUCCUGUAAAUUUUAUGUUUCCUUAUUGAAACUGAAUUCGAUGUUAUAUAUAAAAAUACCAAGUUCGACAUUGAUAUAUAUUCUGCUUUUUUCACAAAAGUUGUUUUUUGGAUGUUCUUUAAAGGAUUUUUUUAUGAAGACAAAAUGUUGAAAGGUCCUACAUUUAUAAGUUUGAUGUAUACAAUAAACUGCUCAAGACCUGUAUUUAUCCAACAAAGUAUAUUUAUUGUUUGUUCAAACAAAAUCUUAUAAGACAAAGUAUACACAUUUGUGUUUCUUCAAGCAAAAGUUUAUUAAACCCAGAGCAUAAGUAAGCGCUUGCAUCCAUCUGAUAAGCCACAUAACAAAUAGCGCUUGCGUCUAUCAGAUGAAGCACACAACAAAUAAUGCUUACGUCUAUGAGAUGAAGUACAUAUCAAAUGCUUUUGAUCAACCAUACAAAUAAUGUCCAUCAGGCUAAACUGGACAAUGUGUCUAAAAGGAUCAAACAGAAUAUUUUGAAUUUUGAUCCAAUUACUAGUUUGAUUGAUACAUUAUCAACUUAGUUUUGAACACAGAAAGUUAUACACAAACAACAUCUAAUACUUGUUAAAUUAUUGAUAAUUUAAUUUGAUCAAAUAUAAAUAAUUGAUUUUAAAUGUAUAUCUUAGCUAGCACUUUAUGUAACUAAGAUAAACAGAAAAUUUUCAUUGAGAUUUGUUAUAUGGUAACAUUUUCAUUUUUAUUGACAAUAAAAAAUAGGACAAUGAUAUUUUGACAACUCUUUUUUAACAACUUUUUGACAACAGUAUACGUGUCAUCAUUUUAUUGGUAUGUUUGAAUUUAUCUUUAAAAAAAUAUUUGAAACGGACCAAUCAUAAAUUGUCACGUAUGCGUUGUCAAAAUGUUGUCAAAAAAGAGUUGUUAAAGAGACUUUUUUCUAAAAAAUAUAUUAGUAGAACCAAUAUGGUAUUUCAAUCAAAGCGUUGAGACUUUUUUCUAAAAAAUAUAUUAGUAGAACCAAUAUGGUAUUUCAAUCAAAGCGUUUAUAUGCAUAAGAUAGCAAAAACUAAAAAGCACUUCCAUAUAAUUUCUACCCUUCCAAAAAGACAACGUUUUAAAUAAAAUAACAAGUUUUGUUAUAUAUUUAGAAAUCAUACAAGUUACUGUUUUCUAAUUGAUUUUUUAGCAACAAAAAAUAUUGUUAUAUAAAUGAAAUAUAAGCUUGAAUCUCACAAAUUUGGAUAUUGUGAAUUGAGUCCUUAUUAAACUUUUGAGUUGAAUAUGAUUUUAUUCCUUAAAGUUUGGAUAUAAAAUUAAAAUUCAUUUUUCUUCUAAACAUUGUUGUAUCUUGAUCUCAAAACUUGAAAUGAAUGGAUAUAUUAUUUUAUAAAUUAACAACGUUAUUUUUGUAAACUUGUUAAAUGUGUUCCAAAUUUGCAUUUCAGUAGGAACAUGUUAAAACAACAUAAAUAACUUAAACGUCAUGUGACACAUUUGAUACAUAAAAAUAAAUUAAAGUAGCUGAGUUAAGAAAAUUAUAUAUAUGUCAAAAUUUGAAACAAUGACAAAUUUUAAUUUCAAAGUUUAGAGGCUAAAAAUAUAUUUAAUUCUAAAUUUGUUUGUUGUAUUACUCAGAAAUUUAUAUUUUUAAACUGUGUCCCUACCGUUUAAUUUUUCUAUUAAUUGUGAUUGUUAUAUUUACGCUUCGUCUUGGUUACUUGUCUCCAUGUAUUAAGAAAUAUGAGGUUUUAAACUAAGCGACAAACAGUUUGAAUUUUAUAUAAAGUAAUAAAAAAUUUUGUCGUUUUAUCAUUGUAUUUUCAAUUAAUAUUUCUUUUGCUAAUAAUUUUUAUUUUAAUCGCUUGAAUUUUAAAAAAAAAAAUACUCAAAUAAGAUUUACUAAUAAUUAUUGUUGGCAUCUACAUGUAAGAUAUCAUGAUACUUGUAAAUUAUUGAAUAUCUAUUACUUGCAUAUAUCCAUUCAGAAUAUGCAUUUAAUAUUUUUUGUGAAUUUUAUAUAUUAAUAUCGGCGAGUACAAUUUUUUUGUCAUUCUUAUAUUAUAUACAACGCAAUAUUAUUUAUAUUGACCGCAAAAUGUUAUAUUUUUUAACAUGUAGAAACAAUUAAAUAAGAUAACUAAAAAAAAAUUAACAAUCAUAUUACUUGAAAAAAUUAAAUGAUAAAAAUUCUUUUAAAAAAUAUAAAAAUUUUGAAUACUCAAUAAUUAAAUAAAUAUUUAAUUAAAAAUACUCAAAAUGUAUGAUCGACCUCAAGCUUAAUUAAUUUAAAAAUAUAUUAUAAUCUUUUGAUUGAUUUGUUAGGAGUAAUGUUAAAUGUCCGAUCAAGUAGUUUUUUACAAAAUUUUGAUUUACUUACAUUGAAUUAAAACUUGAGUGUUCUCCUAUGUGAUUUCAUUAUUUUUAUGAGAAUUACAUAUUAGAGUAGAAAUGAAAAUAUUCGUCUUAGUUGUUUCUAAUUACCUUUAGUCUGGGUCUCUAACUACUAGAAGAAAUUUACUAAAUUUAAUAAUGACGUGUCUUAUUGUCUGUGCACAUUUGGAAGCAGGAAAUGUAAACUUGUAAAGCUUAAUUUUGCUCUCAGAUUUUCAGCCAGCUCAUGCACAAGAAGGAAUAGAAUUUUACCCAUUAUUCAUGACAAGUCGUGAUUAUAUCCUGGAUAAAUCUAGAAUUUGACUAAAAUCUCCCUCUUUGGUUUUGUUUUUAAAUGUUCAGUCUGCAAAGUACUUCAUCAUUCUCAGUACUUGUUUUAUGUAAUCAAUCCUUCUUAGUACUCAUUUUCAGUAAAGUAAUGUGUGCGGAAAACAUUUCAACAUUCAAGCCAACCUCAACAUGUUAAUAGAAUCUUAAAUGUAAUUAAUAAGAUACUUCAUUGUACCAUUUAUAAUUAUAACUUAUUACAUUUGUGGAUCAUUACCUAAAUGAGUUUGAGCUUAGGCCUAAUAGAUCGGUCAGACCAUAGAAAGAAGAGAGUUUUACCCAUUUUUCAUGUCAAAGCAUGAUUAACUAUGGAUAAAUUUAGAAUUUGGCUAAAAUCUUACUCUUUGCUUUUGUUUUUAAAUUUUCACUCUCCAAAGUUCUUGUCUCCAUCUUUCUCCGCACUCAUUCUCUAUAAGGUGAAUAAAGAUUGUGCUUGUAAAAGACACUUCGACAUUCAAGACUUCAAACGUCAACAGGGUCUUAAGUGUAAUUAACAAGAACAUAAGUAAAAUGUUUCGACAAUUAUACUACUUAUAAUAUAAUUUAUUAUGUUUGUCAUGAGUAUAGGCUUAGACUAAUUGAUCAUUCAUCUUAUUUAAGUCGAUGUUUGAUUAUAUUUUGCUAAAUUAUAGAGUAAUAUGUACAUGUUAGCUCUGAUAGACCAACAGAUAAUUGAUUAGACCGUUUAGUGAUAUGACCAUUUAGUGAUAGUUCCCAUGUGAGCUGGACAUGUUUAGAUUCAAGCACUUAAAACAUAUUUAGUUUUGUUUUGUGUCAUAUCGUCCUAGGACGAUAUCAAUAUUGAUGUGGACAAGAAACAAGCAUAUAUAUAGAAUACAACUAUAUAGAAUACAACUCUCUGUCUGACUAUCACUUGUUACAAAAGGAGGAAAAUUACUUAUUUUUUUUCUUGGCUUAAACCUUGGCUGAUAAGCAAAGUGCUUGUGAAAACAACAAUUCAUUCUCGACUCAUUUGUCAUUCUCAACACAUCGAAAGUAAACCAUGUUUUUCUUUCUUCUUUCUCAUGUUUUUGUUUCAUACUACCUCUUCUUCUAAUUCAAGGUAAAUUUCUUCCCACUAUUUAUUUUUUAAUCUCAAGAUUUCCCAUUUUAUGUGUUCUUAUUAGGAUAAAAAUAAUUAUAGAAUUAUUUAUUUAGUAUAUUACCACCAAAUUCUUCUAAAAAUAAGGAAGGUUGACAUCAUAUUAUAAACUUCAUCUUUGUGAUUUUAUUUUGUAAAUUUUGAAUCUACCCUAUUUUUUUCUGUAAUAUUGUGACGGCUAUUUGAAAUUUAGAAUCCAAAAAUAAUUCGGCUACCAAAACUUGUAAUGAUUUAUUGAGAUAUAAAUCUAACAAUUUUUCUAUUUUUGCAAUAAAAACACAGUACAGAUUUGCUACAAAAUUAUUAUAUAUACACAUAUUUUGAAAAGGCUAAGCUAGAUGACAUCAAUUUUGAUGAGAAUUAUUUUGGAUUGAGUUCGAAAUAAAGAAUCGUAGUCAAGGAAACAAUCAAGUGAAACAUCCUAUCAUGUUAUGACACACUAGACUCGUCUGGACUUAGAAUGAAUAUCGAUCUGGGACGGGUUGUGCACUUGUGGUGGCCUCUACUACUUUGCAAAGUCAUUGUCAAUGGGUUUCACCCUACCACACACAAGUGUAAGUCUGUUACCGCGUAAUAGGCCUCCACGUAGCACCUAUCACUAGGACCUCUUACUACUCUCACCACAUGUGUCAAUCCUCUCUAAGUGAGAAUGAAAGACCAUUAGAGUGUUAAGGAUAAUCCCCCAUGAAGAAACCUCAUAUAUUCAUUCUAAACACUAAAUGAUCUCACCUAGAGAUCUUACUUUAAUACUAUUCAAGUCACCUUAAUCAAAUCUCAAUCCUCUUUGAAUCAUUAACAUACCAUACUUGUUACAUUCAACACCAAUCAUAACCUUUAUAUGUACAUACUUUCAAACUAUAAUUCACACACAAUACAACAUGCCUUCAAUCCUGUUGCAAAAUCAAUCUAUAUAUAUAUAUAAACAUACAAGACAUUUUUUCAAUCAAACAACAUCAAUCAAUCCAUGGCAUAAGGAUACUCAUAUUUAGGUAAGGAAAACAGCUCCAAAACCAUCACUAACAGCUCCAGAAGGGUCCAUGUCAACUCUCUAUUUUUCCCCAUUUUUCUAUGUUAAUAUUACUCUUUUAGGAUAGUUUAGUUUUUAAUUUUCUAGAAUUAGGUUAAUUUAGUAUUUUUUCUUUAAAUUUAGAGUUUUGUUAAAAUAGUGUUAAUUUUGUCUUUUUAGUUAAAUAAAUAGGUUUUUAAAUAAAUAAGUAUAUUUUUUAGAUAAAAAUGUUCAAGAAAAUAAAUAAUUUUUAGGCUUUUAUUUUUCUGCAGGAUCAAAUCUUUGAAAGCAAUUGGGUUGGAAUGGGCUGAAGUUCUUUUUAGGAGACUUAAUGAAACACACUGUUUUGAUGUGCUGAUGCAAAAGAGGGGUCUUCUAAUUUGUGUUCAUUUGUGCGCAGAGAAGCUCGAGUCAUUUGGGGCUUUCUCCCAACUCUUUCAUUCAGAGCUAGGGUUCUUACGAAAAGAGAGUUUCAGAGCAUCGAAGUAGAGAGCUUGUUUAGAGACUCACAGCCCAAGAGGAAGCUGGCCCAGGAAGCAAAUCGGACCGAUGAUCGGACCAGAAUCGUAAUAAGAGGUUUGCGGAGCUGAAUCGAUUGAAGAAGAGCAGUUAGGAAGUUAGUUGGAAAAGCUUCACGAAGCUUCGAAUUCCGUUAUUCGGUUGAUCCCCUUUCCCUCAUUUUCUUUCUUCUUCUAUUUUGGAUUGUCCCCUAUAUAAGGGAGGUUCUGUAAAGUGUAAAACCACAGGUGGUGGGUGACAAACACCACUAUACACUCUAGACUCCAGGUUUUCAUUUUCCAUGCCUUAGUUUAGACUUUUCAAUGCUUUUGUAGAGAAGUAGAUAAACUGUUCUUUGCUGCUGACUUCGUGGAGGGAUCUCAAGUGGGUGACAGGCCGUGAGAUUCCCCUUUUGUGAUCUUGGGUACAUUUUUUUUUUUUAUUUCAGUUCUUCAAUAUUCAAUACAAUGCUAUUCUUUUAUUUUUCUUGCACGAUUUUAUGUUUCUUGCUCGUUUAAUUUCGAUUCCUGCAAAUUACUUCUAUGAUUCAAUUUCUUCUGUUUAGUCUUCUUUUAUUACUCCUUAUUUUGUUUCAUCUGUUUUAGUCUAUUUCAUUUCUGCUUGAUUAGUUUGCUUUCAUCAAUUAACUGUACAUAUUAGAUGUUAGGUUUUGAUUCUGUGUUACAGUUUCGGCCAUUUCUUUUCUGAUAUGUGAUUAGGAUUAGAUUUAAAUUCUGUUUUCAUUGGUUGUUUUUAAAAUUCCAUAUUUCUAUUACUUUGUUCAUUCACAGUUGCAAUUUUGGUUCAUUAUAGGUUCUAUGUUUUUCCAAUUAAAGUUUCUUUCUAUUGUUUUUUUUAGGAUAAAAGUCAUUUUCCUUUCUUUUCAUUUACUCAUUCAUGCAUCAUUCAUUAAAAUUCUUCCUUAUUAGUGCAUCUCUAUUCUUUAUAUUGUUUCUGUUUUCAUCACAUUAUCUUGCAUUCAUUUAGAUUUAGUAGAAAUAUUCAGUAUUAAUUUUGUUCAUAUUAGAUUUCAUUUUAUAUUUUUUCCCCACCUAGUUUUAGAUUUAAUUUUAAAUAAAUAGGUUCAAUUCUAUAAUUCUAAACUUGAUUUUGCCAAGUCCUUGGAUUGAUCCCUAGUCAGCCCUAUACUACAUUAGUGGGGACUAGGUUUGUUGACUUUUGUGCGACCAAAAGCCUUUCAACAGUCCAAAACCCCCAAAACGACCUAAGGAACAUCCAAAACAGACAUCUGAAACCCCAAAAACUAUCAAAAACAAAAACAACAACAUGCUGGUAUGCCCAGGGGCGCUCAGGGGCGCUCAGCGUGAAUCGUUAGUGCAUCCACGGUGCCAGGGCUCUACCAAGGGCAAUGAGGCGCCAUACCUGUUGACAACAACCAUGAAAAUAGGCUUUUGAUGCACUUGAAACCUGUUCUAAUGACUAAAGGGGUUCUUUACACAUUUGUAUUGAUGGAAAAACAUGUUUAUAUGUUAAACAAACCUCUAUUUGAUCACUAGAUCCAAGACUAGGUGUAUCAAACCACUUUUGACACUUUAAAAACCCAAUUUCAUCAACCUAAAGGUCUAAAAUUGAAUUUACCAUUUAGAAUGUGUUUUUAGCAAAUUUAGCACUUGUAACUAGUCUCAAAUGACUCAAUCAAACUGUCCCCACUGUCUACUUACACCCUAGACCUCAGUUACUCAAAAACACCCUUUCACUUCCUCUAAACUCACUCAAAACACUAGUUUUCCUCAACCAAAGGACUCAACUCCACUUCUACCAUUUAGAAUCUCAUUUUAACCAAUUGUAUAGUCCUAACAAGUUAUAAUUAACUUGCCUAAGCUGCCUCAAUAGUUCAAAUAUGCCCAAGACCCCUAACUCUAAAAUUCCCCACCUUACUUCCUCUUAAAAGACCUUAAAAAAGUACCAAUUUCUUAAGUAUGAUGCCUAAUCAAUACCACAACAGAUUUCUCACCCAAAUCCCCUUUUAACGUUUUCAAUCAUAACAAAUUAACUCAUUCAAAUCAGCUUUCAAACAUUCAUACUGAAAUUUCACAGUUUAAACAUUCCAACACAUGCACUAAAUCCACUAAAAAAAGAACAAGAGUCAAACCAUAUACCAAUUCAAGAUUUAACAUACGCACAUCUCAUGCAACAAUUUCUCGAAAGACGCUAGCUCCCCUUACCUCUAAACGGAACGCCAAGCUCACGAAACCCCAAAUGCUCACUUACACCUCAAGAAAGACUAAGAUUACCUACAAUUCAUAAAAUUCGUUGUAGGAGGCAGAAUUAGGGAUCUAGAAAGACUUGGAAAUUGCAAAGAAGAAGUAGAAUGCUCAUGAAAAUAAAAAAUCUGGUGCAUGUAGUACAACCUUGAAAUGCAUGGAAAAGGAGGACCACUUACCGGCGGCGGAACAAGAAAUUGACUGGUCGGAUUUGAAGCCCACAACAUCAAGAUUACCUAAGCGGUCUCUGAUUGUGGAAUAAAUGGAUCAAUAAAGAAGAAAUCUAGAGAGAUGGUAGAGAAAGUUUGAGAACAAAGUGAUAACGGUUGAUUUAAUGUGUUUGUGUGUGUAUAUUUUGUGAACAAAUCAACUCCUUCAUAGCUUUUACCUUGUUUUAUCCUCAAGUUUAGUGUGUUUCCUAGUUUUCUUGUGUUUUAUUUAGUAUAUGCUUGUUUUUACCUCUAAUCUCUUUGUUUGAGUGUUUGAAAUAAAUGAAUAGGAAACAAUUCUACUGGAGGAAAACAAGCAAGAACUCAAGGGAACAUGUUUUGGGACAAUAAAAGAUCAAUUUGAAGCAAAUACCCAUGUUGGACGCCUUUGGAAAUGCACAAGAGCUUGAAUUUUAGAAUGCUGUCAAAAUUGUCAUGCCCAGGCGCCCUUCUGUGUGCUGCAGCCAGAUUUCCACGCCCGGGCGCCCUUGCCUUGUGGUUCGCUGUUGGUGCUUAAUUAUAGCGCCCGGGCGCCCCUGGGGGGCGCUGAGCGCCCUUUUUCUGUAGAUUUCAUGCCUGGGCGCCCUUUGCUUCACUGUUUUACCCAGAAUUGGAGCUCGGGCGCCCAGAAGGGGCACUGGGCACGACUUUCCGCUGAUGUGUCAAAAUGGGUUAUUUAAACAUGGGUCUCGCAAUUUUUAGAGCAUUAUUCUCCUCCCACACUUCAUUCUUCACCUAGAGAGAUUGGGAGAGGCCCUUGGAGGCUAUUUGGGGUGUUGGGAAGCUCUCUCACUCCUCCUUGGGUCUUCAAGCUUCAUCAAUGGUGAUUUUGACCCUUUUGGGUUGAGGAAGAAGAUGGGUCACAAAUUGAAGAUGGAGAUGCGAAGGGGAGGCACAAAUGGAGCAUGAAGCAGCUGCCAAGAACCUUGGGAAAGACUUUGCAUCUUCUCUUUGGUUCCAAUUUCUUCCCUAUCUCUUCAAUUUUGUAGAACCCUAAGUUCUCCACCAUGGAGGGCUUUUCCUAUUUGUUGAGAUUAGUUGUAAAACAUGAAAUUCUUAUGUAUUUUGUGAUGUUAAUGAUAUAUGCUUUUCCAAUUCAUGUUAGUAUUUGAUUUCUAUGCUUAAUGCUUGUUAUGGCUUGAUCACCCAUGGCAUGAAUUUUGGUUCUUGAUGUAUUGAGAAAUAUGAUUGAACCUAGAAUUGAAAUUGAAUACUUAUUUGAUGGAAUUGAGAUGUUUGUGAAUGCAUGAGAAUGAAAUGGAUGAAUUCUAGUCUUGACAAAUUAUAAAUACACUAUGUUAAAUUCCUUGCACACCAACAGUUUGAUAAAAUACCAAAAAGAGUUUCUUGUGUUGUUUUUAUGCACUUUGAUGUCUAAUUGAGUUAUAAAAGGAAGAAUUGUCAUGUGUUGCACAAGUCCCUUGGGAGAGAACGAUAUUUAUCACUUGCUACGCUGCGACCGGUGCACUUGCCGUUGGUUUUGCAGCCAACACAAAGCUUGAGAGAGAUGAAAAGUUUUUAAAUAAAUGGACCAAAUACGUUUUAUAAAGGCUUCCAUUUUAUGUUGCUGAUAUGUUAUAAAUAUAAAACAUGGUCCCAUUGACUUAAUAUCCUUAUCACUCUUAAGUCUUAUUUCUAGGUUAUUACAAUUGUUGUGUUUCUAUUACUUGAAAAUAAUCGUAUAUUUAAAUAUAGGUUUAAUCAUUCAGGAGGUCCCUAUUUUCGGGUAGAAUCUCAAUUUUGUCCCGUUCUUUUUCGGUUUCUCAAUUGGGUCCUAAUUUUGUAAAAAUUGCAACAAUUGAAUCCCUGCCGUUAAAUUAAGCCUCACGGUGUUAGUAUGUGAUUGAUGUGGCAUGCCGAACUUAAUUUCUUAGUUGACGUGGCAUGGUGACUGGGUUUGAAUUGGUUUUUUGUUAAAAAAUAAAUUGAGUGAAGAUCAAAUCAGAUGUUUUUUAUGGGUAAAAUGGGCAAACCCCAUUUCUUUUUCGAUUGAAACUGUGAGGAGGGGAAACCAAUUCGCCCUCUUCAUCACUCUCAAGCUCAUUUUUUCACAUACAUCAAAAUCCCCAAAGGUAGCAUUGCUAUCUCAUACAGACACCAUCGAACCGAAUGCUCCCACCAUCAACACCAUGCUCCUUCUUCCUCUAACUUAUCUGGUACAAAAGCAGGAUAAUAUUGUACCUGUGGAGAAAAAAUAAAUCAAAAUAUAUUCACUUUCAAUGUGUCUUGGGACACUUGCAUGUUCAUUCCAUUCAACUUAAAAUUAUAUAUGCUUGUAAAAAAAAUUAUUAAAAUUCUAGCUUCUUCCAUUUCAUAGAUAGAUUGACCUGCCACAAACUUGAACUUCAAUGUAAAACCAUUCUAUGGUGUGUGGGUGUGAGUUUUUGAAUUUUUUUGUAUAUGGGAUAAAAAUGAAUUCGAAGGAAAAAAAAAUUGACCUUUGUGAUAUUUGGUAGCAAAUGAUGACAUUGAAGUUCACAAAAAGAACGAAACUUUAAAGAACCCAAAAAUACCUCCCAAUCUGCUUCAAAAUGUCAAGCAUAUUAGUCUAAAAAACAUGACUAACAACUUCAACACUCACACCGGUCCCACUCUGAGGCAUCGCAAACACAUCCACAACGUGCACGAUGUACUCAUCCACGAACUCCCCCAACAUCAGACCCAGCACUUCCAUGGGUACCCCAACUUUUCUUCCACACAAAUUAGGGUUUUUUUAAACAUUCGCGCUAAUGAAAGAAGAAAUAUGGCAAGGAUCGAGAAAGAAGAGAAAAGUACCCUUACUACUGUCAAUUUCUUUGGUACUGCUUCGUCGGCGUGGGUGGCCCCGUCGGCGACGCUCUUGGCCGGCGAAAGGAAGGCGCAACGGAGGAUAGGGACUGCUGCAUUGGAGGUUGAAGGAAGAGUCGUUUCUGUCUUUUCCUUUUUCGUGCAUAUCCUUAAAGUUUUAGGGUUCCAGAGAAGGAAAGGUUUCCCCUCCCCGUGUUUCCAACUGAAGAAGAAAUGGAAUUUGUCCAUUUUGCCCUUGAAGAUAUCUUUGCUUAAUUUAUUUUUUAAUACAAAAACCAAUUCAAACUUAGUCAGCGUAUCACGUCACUUAAGAAAUUGACUUCGCAAAUACACAUUAACGCCGUUAGACUCAAUUUAACGGAAAAGAUUCAAUUGUUAUAAUUUUCAUAAAAUUAAGAUUCAAUUGAGAAAACCAAAAAGAAUAGGACAAAAUUGAGAUUUCCUAUAAAAAUAGGGACGGAUUAAACCUAAAAUAUAAAAAUGUUGUGUAAAUUGAUUCAUUUUGUUUAGUAACCAGGAAAUGGUUACGACGACUCAAUGUAGAAACAAAAAUCUAACUAUAUCACAGUUUUCCAUAAUAUCCAUUGAUGUUAAUAUAUUAUCUAUUGGAGCUUCUUUUAACCAGCGUACGUCAUGGAAAUGUUGUUUCCUCUUAUAUUUAAUGAGAUUGUUGUUGUUCUUUCUUGUUAUAAAUGCUAAUUCAUAUUUUAAUAUAACUACUACUAUUUCUAUGUUUUAUUAAUUAGUUAUUCUAAACAAAUAAAUUUAAAGCAAUAGGUAACAACGAGUAGGGAUGUUAUAACUAAGCAUAUUGAUGGUACAAAUUAAGUGGAUAACAAAUUAAUUUAGAGGAAAAAUUAUAAUCAGUCAUAUCUCAAAUAAGAUUAUUAUGUAUCUAGUUUUUUAGUUAAUUAUAAAUUAAUUAUUCUUUAAUUAAUAUAUCGGCAAACUGUUAUCGUAGGUGAAUAUCGAAUGAAUUCUAUUUUUGAAACUUAAACUUUUUAUUAUAUUUAAAUAAAUACAACAAUUAGUUUAUUUUUUUUAACUGUAAUUUCAAACUCUUUUGUCAAAGGAAUAUAAUUUCAAACUUAAUAUUAAACGUUAAUGUCAUAAUUGGUACAGAUAAAAUUGCAAAAUAAUAUUAUUUUUUUAGUUAAUAAUUUAUUAUUUUAGUAUCCAAAUUAAUACUUGUGCGUUAACUUUUUAAAAUAAAUUACAUAUCUCAUACGUUUAUAUUUUACAUUUAUUAUGCUAUUAAUAUUUUAUUUCAAAAUCAAAUGAGCUUCUUUAUUAAAAUAAUAUUCAUUAUUUAUUAAAAUACAAUAUAUACUUUUCAGCACAAUAUCAUUUAUACUCUGUUUCUGGCAGAAAAAAAUAAAUAGUUUAGUGAACUCUCUUCGUAAAACUUAGAAAAAAAAAAGUUACAAGGAUUUUUGGAUUAAAGUAGUCAGAAAUAGUUAAAUUCAGUUAUACUAAUUUGAAUUAUUUAAAAGUUAUUAUAACCAACUUCUAUAAAUAAUAAAUUUUUAAAAAUAUCAUAACUUUUUAAACUUUUGAGAACAGUUCGAGUUGAAUUAAUGAUAAAAAAUAUUUAUUGUCAUAUAGCACAAAAAUUAAAAAACUAUUUUCUACUAUAUAAAAAAAUUAUUAUGUAUCAAGGGUUAACUGACUAGAUGUAGCCUGUAAAAAAGAAAACAUUUUCUUUUUUUAUUUUUGGUUAUUUGUCAAUUCGGAUUAUUUGUAAGCUUACUCACAAAACAACUAAAAUAUAGUUGUCAAAUUAGCUUUUAAAUCCAUAUUAUCCUCAAAUAAAGACAAUACAGUGGAUAGAUUAGGAUGAUAUUGAUCUAAAUUAGAAUUGAACCAGUUCAAGUAAUCAACUCAUAAUCCAAAUUAAGUUCAUUGCGACAGCUUAAUACAAAAAUUAACAGACUAAACCACUGCGGAUAAAAGGCAAAACACCAACAUUUUUUUCUCAUCCGAAUUCAAGGUCUAAUCAUCCUUUGUUCUAAAGAAAACAAAAACAACCUCCUUGAAUGCAAUUUUCCUUCACUUGUUUUCUCUGGAAAUCUUUGGCAAUUGUUCUUCUGCAUUUGAGAUAUCAUCAUGGGAGCGUGUUGCAGCCAUGUUUCAGUACAUGAUGUGGAAUUUUCAUGCAAGCAUAACCAUGAUGAUGGUUCAUGUGAACAAGGUGGGAACCAUAUUAUGUCAAGAGGGUCCUCUGAAUUUGUAUCAAUGUACAGCAAAAAGGGUUCAAAAGAAGUUAAUCAAGAUGCAUUGACUGUGUGGAAGGUAAGAUUCUUGAUGUAUCUGUUCGCAAUUUGGCUUCAUUUUCUAUUUCCCUUUCAAUCAAUCUUCCUGGAAUUGUUUUCCUUAAAGUCUUUAAGGUUGGAAAUUACAUUUUAGAAGGUGAAAUUGCAGAUAUAAAAUUAACUUAUCAUGAAUUUCCAUCAUUAAAACAUAACGUUUCGUAGUGAAUGAAUUCAUGGCUUUGAUAUUAAUGGUUAAUAUGAUACGUUUAUCAGGACUUUACUGCAAAGAAAGACAUGAUCUUUUGUGGGGUGUUUGAUGGUCAUGGUCCUCUGGGGCACAAGUUUUCACAGUCUAUACGUGACAAACUACCCUCAAAACUCUCAGCAUCAAUCAAACAAUCACAACAAAAGGUCAUCAAACACAAUGAUACUAAUGCUACAUAUGGAAGUAGUCACAGUGAAAUGCUUGUUAAGGAUAACCAAAAUAUGUCCUUUUCUUCAUGGGAGGGAAGCUUUAUGAAGUGCUUCACUGAAAUGGAUGAAUAUCUUGCGAAGAACAUAGACUCUAAAGGGUUUUCUGGAGGUAGCACUGCUGUAACUGUUAUCAAACAGGUAUAAUUAAUUAGAUCUUCUCAAUUUCAUUAUCUCAUUGUCAAUGUUGCAAGAAUGUUCCAAUUAACCACAUUCUUUCCCCUUUUUAAAUUUCAGGGUGACCAAUUAAUAAUUGGAAAUUUGGGAGAUUCACGUGCAGUUCUUUGCAGAAGAGCAGAUGACAACCAUCUUAUUCCUGUUCAACUUACUGUUGACUUGACCCCAGAUAUUCCAAGUAGGUCUUGGUAUUAACUUUUAAUCUAAGUUUUCUGAUCUUAAAAUUUGGUUAAAUGGAUUAGUUAAGCCCUUAUUCAUUAAGAACUUAUCAAAUCAAAUGAGAGGUUAUUGAUAAGUUGAUUGUAAACCUUAGUGAAAUAAGGUAAAACAACUUAUUUUGAUAAGACACUCUUUCAAAUGUCCCUGUGUCUAACCUGCUUUUGUUCUUCAAUGUCACUCAGGUGAAGCUUUAAGAAUCAUUAAUUGCGGAGGUAAAAUUUUUUCUUUAAAAGAAGAACCAAGUGUAAAUAGACUAUGGAGGCCAAAUGGGAGUCGCCCUGGACUGGCUAUGGCAAGAGCCUUCGGAAAUUUUUGCCUAAAAGAUUAUGGUCUCAUCUCAGUCCCUGAUGUAUCAUACAGAAAACUUACAGAGCAGGAUGAGUUUGUGGUUCUGGCUUCUGAUGGGGUAAGCAUUUUCGUAUCAAGAUCUCAAACAUUUGAUCAAAUAGAGCUUUCAAACAAUAAGCAACAGCCAAUUAUUAUUCCCCAAAUUAUAUCUCAAUCAAAAGGGUCUAAAUUUUCUUUCUUUUAUAGGUAUGGGAUGUGCUAACAAACAGUGAAGUAAUAGACAUAGUUGCUUCAGCACCAAAAAGGUCCAUGGCAGCUAAAUUGUUAGUAGACCAUGCAGUUAAAGCAUGGAAACGUAAGUAUGUUUCCAUGGUUGAUGAUUGUACAGCUAUAUGCUUGUUCCUGAAGGAUCAAACUGUUUUAACCCAAUCCUGACACAAAGUGAGUGAACAACAACAUCCCUCUGAAGCACCUGCAUUGGUCAUAAUCUAGAGAUGUAAAUACUGAAUGUAACGAAGUGUAAAUGGCAAGAGUAGUUUUAGAAUCAAAAGGAAGAAUUUGAAGCUCUUGCAGGGUUAUCUGCAUUCAAUUUUGAAUCAUGAUAGCAAUGAUCUCAGUAGCUUAAGGGGGCUUGAAGCUGAUCACUAACUCAAUAAGAACUGUACAAAUCAAAAUGUAUAAUGUUAUUGGGAGGUGGGGGGACUAGAGCAACUUAGGCUUAAUACCGUUUUUGGUCCCUAGUUUGGGAGGUUUUGUUCAAUAUGGUCCUACCUUUUUCUUUAAUAACAAUUGAUCCCACUUUUUGAAAAAACUGUUCAAUUGACUCCUUUUUGGUUAUGACGUCAAUUUUCAAACGGUGUUGAUUACGACGUCAAUAAGUUCUGUCAUGUAUUCACCUAUCCAAAUGUUAUUUUAACAGUCCUGACAUAAUGUUGUGUUAAAAAUCAUGUCAUCAUCGUAUACAAUAAGGACUAUAAUAAACAAUUUAAACUUGAAUAUGGGACCACUAUGAACAAAAAGGACUCAAUUGAACAGUUUUUUCAAAAGGUGGGAUCAAUGGUUAUGAAAAAAAAAAGGUAGGACCAUAUUCAACAAACCCUUCCAAACUAAAGACCAAACGGUAUUAAGCCAGCAACUUACAAUGUACAAAUAGUAUAGCCAGAAGGUUUUGUUUGGACAUAAAACCAGAAGAGAGAAAUUAUUUCAGCCUUCUAUUCUGGUUUGAUUUCAUGUACAAGACUUUUCUUUUACCAGCCUGUGCGAUGAACUUUUAAUAAAUUGUAACACUUUUUCUGGCUUGGAUACUACAAAUUUUAAUCAAGAACUAUGCAUACCUACUUUUCUAUUUAUGUUCAAUUGUUUUUCAGAGUGAUGUGUUAACUCUUCCACAGAUCUGACAAUAGAAUAAAAUAAUUUUGGGAUUCUACACAUACCUACCAAAUUAUACUGAUAAUAAUUUUCUAAUGUUAUAUAGUUAUGGAGCAAAAUCAAAGGUUAAGGUUAAACGCCAACAAAAGUUGUUAUUGAAUAAUGAUUAUGAAAUGAUAUAUCUUCAUAAAUUAUGCAUAUUAUGCAUAUGUUUAUGUAGGAAUGAGAAUGGACCGAGGUCGGGACGGAAUUUGUUAACAUCUCCAGAGAAAAAAAUUAUCUCCAUCCUCAUAUCUUCACUCAACAAGUAUUAAAUUUUUGUCUCAUUCUCGUUCUUAGCUAAUAUCGAGUAUAUAUUCGUAUUUAUAUAUGCUUUUUUACUAUUUCAAUAUCAAUUAAUUAAUUUUUAUAAAUUAAUAAAAAAAUUAUGACAAAUGAAACAUAAUAUCGUCAAAUAUUCAAUAUCAAGAGAAGAAGAUUAUCAUUUUUUUCAAUAUCAAAUAUUUAAAAAGAAAUUAUAAUUAUAUAUAUUUCAAAUUAGAAUAAUAAAUAAAAUUUCAUGAGAAGCAAACAUUUAUUAAAAUUACAAAUGUUAAUUAAACCAAAUUAAUAAAAUUUAAAAAUAUUUUUAGAAAAAAUAUAAAAGAAAAAAAUACAAAUUAAAAAAUAUUUUAAAUGUUUUUUUUUACUUCAAUUUGUCAAAACAACUGUAGUAGAAUGAUUGCAUGGACAAAUAACCAAGCAAGGUGAAUUGAUUCUUUACAAAAAUGGGUGCCUUUUAAAAUUUUCUCUCAAUUAACAUUACUUAGCAAAUAAUAUAAACAAAGUAAAACAAUAAGGUAGAGAUAAAUUUGCACAUAUAAUUUUAUACCGGAUCUUAUUAAUCCUACUUACAGUUGCUAAUCUCAAAACAAGAUUAACUAUCCAUUAAUCACAUAACCAAUACAAACUACAAUCACACAGAUAUAAUUUGCAGGGUUUCGAAAACACUUCUUUUGACACAUAGGAGAUGAAACACACUUCCCUUAGACACACCAAGGGAUGAUCACUUCCUUUGACAAACAAAGGAUGACGCCUUCUUCAUAACACCUCCUCAGACACAACAAGGAUGAACCGACUAUUCCUCUAUCAUCGUAGCAGCAACUCACCAGCUCCGUAGACAUGAGUUUCUCAAGCCUUACAAUAAUACAAAAUUCUCAAGUGAUUCACAAAGAGUUCUGAGUUCUAGAGUUCAAGGGAAGGUCCUUGAGUAAGAAAUGAGAAUUUAUUUAUAGACUCAAGCUAAAGACACUUUCAUUUUUUUGUUUUUUGCCUUUAUGACUGAUUUAAUCGAUUAAAAUAAGUUUUAAUUGAUUAUUUCAUAAAGGACAAACAUAAAUGUCGGUUUAACGGCUAGAAAAAUGGCUAAAAUCUCCAACGGUCGGAUUUAAUCAAUUAAUUCCAGUAAUAAUUGAUUAAUGCUAAUCGAUUAUUCGAGAAAAAUUUGGAUUUUCAGACUUUGUUAUAAUAAUCGAUUAUUUCAGCGGAUUUAAUAAAUUAAUUUCAGUAAUAAUCGAUUAAUGUUAAUCGAUUAAAUCAUAUUUUGAUCAAUUAUUCAAGAGAAAUUUGGAUUUUCAGACUUUGCUUAAUAAUCGAUUAUCUAGCUAUUAAUCAAUUAACACUAAUCAAUUAUUCUUUAUUUUAAUCUAUUGGAGGAAGUAUGGAGAGAAACAAGUGAAAGGAAGUGAGAAUCCACGCGGUUAUUACAAGUGCACUUAUCCAAAUUGUCCAACAAAGAAGAGAGUUGAGAGGUCUUUGGAGGGACAUGUUACUGAAAUUGUAUACUGAAAAGGUUGAAAGGGGAAGUCACAAACAUCCUAAGCCACAUAAUAGAAAAAAUGGGUCUCCAUCAAGGCAUCAAACUUUUUCAUCCUGCACCAUCUGUGGGAUUUCAGAUCUGUCUAUGGGAGAGGAAGACUUUGAGAAAACAUCACAAAUUAGUUGCUCUGGAGGUGUUGAUGAUGAUGACUUUGGUCCUCAGGCCAAAAGAUGGCAAGAUAAGCAAAUGACAUACAUCACUGAAAUAAACUUGUAUUAUUGGAAAGAAACUACAUGAUGAGCUUGAUUUCAGUGUGACUAAUUAUGAUUGUGAAUCUCAUAUUUAAGGAAAGGAUAGAAUGAAAAUGAUGACUAUUCUAAUUCCUCAGCUGGGAGUAGAAUUGUUAAGGAACCUAGAGUUAUGGUUCAAACCACAAGUGAAAUUGACAUACUUGAUGAUGGAUAUAGGUCGACAAAAUAUGGACGGGAAGUGGUCAAAGGAAACCCAAAUCCAAGGUAUUUCCAUUUUUCAGAUUGUACAAGAAAAUUUAACUGGCAUACAAUGUUAUUGUAAACAUUUUUAAAUUGUCAUUCAAUCAUAAAUUAUCCAUGUAAAAAUUGGAAGUAAUUAUCAUAAAGGCCAACAAACAUAUCAUAUCUGAUUAUCAGUCAUACUCUCUGGAGCCUUUCAAUCAAACCCUUCAUAGAAUUGAUCUUCCUUUAUGAAAAGUAAAACAUUUGUGUUUAAAUGAUUAUUCUGCCAAGCGAAUUUGAAAUAGAACUGAAGAAAACAAAAAACACCCUUUUGCUGUAUGCCUCUUUUAGUGUUGCAAUUUCAUUAUUACCACCCCAUAAGGCCAUGACUUACUCAAAACAUUCUUUCUGCAGGAGUUACUACAAAUGCGUUGCCCCAGGUUGUCCAGUGAGAAAACACGUUGAGAGAGCUGCAAAUGACAUGAAAGUUGUGCUAACAACCUAUGAAGGGAAACAUAACCAUGAUGUUACAACAACACCAGCAAUGUAAUAGGAGACAAAGAAAACGUGUUGACUUUGAAUUCCAUUAUUCUUUUGUUGCUUCUGUUUUAUAACGAAUAAAAGGUUUCUUUUGCUAUGUCUCACUACAUUCAUUUACUUUCUAAAGUUUAUGCUAGUCUUGGCAAUUUCUACUCUGGUAUGCAAGUGUCUACUGCUAUUACGUCUCAGUGAUUUUUGUGUGUUUCUAUAACUUUUAGAUCAAAGUUCUGUUAUUGUUCAAAUUAUGAAGUAUUCAGCUACUUCUAAUCUAUUCAGUAAUAUGGCUAUUCGAGUCCAAGGAUGAAGAAAAUUUGAGGAAGACCAAUAAAUUGAAUUUGUAAAAAUUUUAUAGUGUCAAGUUUAUGUGUAAUUUUCUAAUAAUUAUCAUGUUUACUCUUCACGGCUUUUCAACAAUUGGUAUGUGAGUCCAUAAUUCAUCUCACGAAUAAUGUGUCAAACUCUAGAAGAAAAGCUAAUAUAUAUUAUACUAUUUUAAUGAUUAUUAUAUUAUUAGAUGAACCUCGUAUAAAUCCUACUAAAUAAUAAAUGAAAUUAAAUAGAUUAAAAAUUGAGCCUUUCAUUGAACAUGUGUCCAUUAAAGGUCAAAGUAUAAUAAUCAAAAUUAUAUUAUUAAAAAAAGACAGUUCUAAUGUUCAUUUUUUUCAAUCACUACAAAAUUCCAUAUUUUGGGAAAACUAUCAACAUCAUCACCAACCUGUACUCUGGGACAAAAACAAUUUGGAUAACGAUCUCAUAUUAACAUUUGCAAAGACUUAAAAAGAAAGAGAGAAUGAUAUAAACAUAAUCUAUACAAGAAAACUCACUUCUUUUAACCUUAAAGCAAUAGAUUUGUUCGUCUUUUUCCAUUUAGCUUUUUCAUUUCUAUUCAAAUGCACACUCACACUCGAAUUACUAGCAAUUGCAACAAGUGCAAAGACUUUAAAAGGAAAGCGAAUUCUAAAUUUCUUAUAUUCAAUAGAAAGUUCUUUACUUAUAUUGAAUGAAAGGAGAAAAUUUUAACAAUUAAGGGUGCUUAUGUAUAAGUUUGUUUUGACAGUUUGUAUCCUGAUGUGAUAGCUAUAUUGCUAGGCAUCACAAGGUAAAACAGGAGAAGGCAAUGGCUGUAGCUGAAGAGUCUGUAAAUAUGUUGUCAGCAGUUUCCCUCAUUCUAUCUGUUAUUGGAAUAGCUGAAGAUGUUGAUGAUAGCAAGAGAUAUGCUACAACCUGAAACCAAACAGUUUUCUAACAUUUCAUAAUCAAGCAAAAGACCACUGAGAAACUUAUUUUUAAUUGCAAAACAAAAUCAUAGUAUUAUUAUAUUAGAAGCAUCAAUAACACUUAAGUUAUCAUUGGUUGGUUGAAGAAAAAUAAGUUUAGAAUUUUAUUCCUUCCCAAAAGGAUAAUGCCAACAAAGAGAAGUAUCAAGUUUCCAAUCCACACUUUUAAUCAUUAUUUGCAAGUCUAAUUCACACUUGAAAGGUUCAACUUCAGUCUGCCACAGCCAAAUAGGACAAAAAGCUUGAUAAACAAAUUGAAAACUUUCAUUUUUUAUUUUUGAUCAGUGUUGUGAAACUGCUCACUACAGUUCGAUUUCAACACUGAAUUUGAUUCAGAGAACUGAAUUUGGAUUUAGAAACAGAGCACCAAUGAAAUGAAUGUGAUGGACGAAGAAAGAAUGUCAAACCUGAUAUCCAACCAUAUCAAUCAACCCAGCAGUUCUUGGUUGAAUCAUGUUUUUUCCCGUGAAAACUUCAGUGCACUUGACAAAAACUAAAUAGAAUUGCCAAAGCUAGCAAGUAUCUACAAUCCAAAAAUUCCAAUUUAACUUCAAAUACUAUAUAUGUAAAAAAAAAUUAAAAACUCAAUUGAUUAAAUUCUAUAAUUAUUUUUCUUAUAUACUUGUAGGAAAGUAAAUAAGAAAAAAAGCUAGGUAAAAUCAAAUUAGAUUAGAAAUACUUCUACAAAAUGAAAAAUUAUUUCAUUUAACAUGUCUUGAUUCUCAACAAUUCAAUUUUAAAUUAAUAUAUCUAUGGUGAAUUUUCAAGAGGCAUCCGACCAUGAACCUUAUCUUUGAAAACGACAAACCGGUAAACUUUUCAACUAAGCAUCUUCAAUUUCAACCGUUAAAACUUUUAAUAUAUAUCCAACGGUUAAUUUUGAUAGCAGGUACGGACGAAGCGUAGAAAGUUGAAAUGAAGAGAGUCAAGUGAAGUCUCCUUUCAUCAGUUCAACUCAUUUCUUACGACCAAUUCCUUUCCUUUGCAUCUUUGUUUGCUACUCUGAUCAUCACUUGUUUUCUGUUGAGAUCAUGGCAUUAGCUGCGGUAGGUGGUGCUCUCCUUUCUGCUUUCUUUGACGUUCUUUUCGACAGGCUGGCCUCCCCUGAGGUUCUCAACUUUAUCCGAGGAAAAAAGCCUGACAAGUUGCUUCAAAAGGUGAAAACCCAGCUCAUAGUUGUUAGAGUUGUGCUUGCUGAUGCUGAGAAGAGACAAAUCACAGACUCCAAUGUCAAAGAGUGGCUCGAUCUUCUCAGAGAUGUUGUCUAUGAGGUUGAUGAUUUACUUGAUGAAAUUUCUACUAAAGCUGCUAUUCAAAAGGAGGUAAGCAAUUCAUUUUCUCACCUUUUCAAAUCGAAGAAGAUUGUCAGUAUUACUAAGUUGGAAGACAUUGUUGAAAGAUUAGAUGACAUUUUAAAACAAAAAGAGAAUCUUGAUUUGAAGGAGAUUCCCGUGGAGAGCUACCAGCCAUGGAAAGCUCAGCCAACAUCUUUGGAAGAUGGAUAUGCUAUGUAUGGUAGAGAUAAAGAUAAGGAGGCCAUAAUGAAGAUGGUGUUAGAGGAUAGCACCAAUGGUGAAACAGUGUCUGUGAUCCCUAUUGUUGGCAUGGGUGGGGUUGGAAAAACAACUUUGGCAAGAUCUGUUUUCAACGAUGGCAAAUUGAAGCAGCAAAUAUUUGAUUUAAAGGCAUGGGUUUGUGUUUCUGAUAUAUUUGAUAUUGUGAAGGUCACAAGAACCAUGAUAGAGGAAAUUACCCGAAAGCCUUGUAAAUUGAAUGAUCUAAAUGCUCUUCAACUUGAGUUGAUUGACGAACUGAAGGGUAAAAGAUUAUUGAUUGUCUUAGAUGAUGUUUGGAUCGAGGAUUGUGAAAAUUGGAGUAGUCUUACAAAACCAUUUCUAAGCGGGAAUAAGGGGAGUAAAGUUGUGAUCACAACCCGCAAUGAAAAUGUAGCGACUGCAGUGCCUUUUCAUACUGUUGAAGUAUAUCAUCUAAACAAAUUAUCAAAUGAAGAUUGUUGGUUGGUGUUUGCAAACCAUGCAUUUCCUCAAUCAGAAGCCAGUGAGACUAAAGAAACUCUAGAAAAGAUUGGAAAGGAGAUUGUUAAAAAGUGCAAUGGGUUGCCGUUAGCAGCACGGUCACUUGGAGGAAUGUUGAGAAGAAAGCAGACUAUUAGGGAUUGGAAUAAUGUACUUCAAAGUGACAUUUGGGAACUUCCUGAAAGUCAGUGUAAAAUUAUUCCAGCACUCAGAAUUAGUUAUAAUCAUCUCCCUCCACAUUUAAAACGGUGUUUCGUUUAUUGCUCAUUGUACCCCAAAGAUUAUGAAUUUAAAAAAGAUGAUCUGAUCCAGCUGUGGAUGGCUGAAGAUCUUGUAAAAGCAACGAAGAAAGGAAAGACUUUAGAGGAAGUUGGUCAAGAGUAUUUUGAUGAUUUGGUUUCGAGAUGCUUUUUUCAAUCUUCAAGUGGGAGUGUGGAUGAUUACUUUGUAAUGCACGACCUCAUUCAUGAUCUAGCAACAUUUCUUGGUGGGGACUUCUAUUUCAGAACAGAUGAACUUGAGAAAGAAACCAAUAUCGACAGAAAGACUCGUCAUUUAUCAUUAACAAGAUUCAGUGAUCCAGCCUCGGAUAUUGAAGCUUUUGACACAGUAAAAUUUCCAAGAACUUUCUUGCUAAUCGAUUAUAAAGAUUCUCCAUUCAACAACGAAAAGGCACCGCGUAUUAUAGUGUCAAGGCUUAAGUAUUUGAGAGUUUUAUCGCUUUACAAAUUCCAAAGUCAACUUGCUCUGCCUGAUUCAGUUGGUGAAUUGAUACAUUUGCGUUAUCUAAAUCUCUCUUAUACAAGUAUAGAAACUCUGCCGGAGUCACUGUGUAAUUUGUGCAAUCUACAAACUUUGAAGUUGUCUAGUUGCUCAGAAUUGACUAAGUUGCCUAGUGCCAUGCAAAAUCUUGUAAACUUGCGUCAUCUUGAAAUAUUUGGUACUCCCAUAACAGAGAUGCCUAAAAGAAUGGGGAAACUAAAUAAAUUACGCAACUUGGAUUGUUAUGUUGUGGGCAAGCAUACAGAGAAUAGCAUCAAAGAACUGGGAGGACUUCCAAAUCUCCAUGGUAUGUUUUAUAUUGAGAAAUUAGAGAAUGUUACCAAAGGCGAAGAAGCAUUAGAGGCCAGGAUAAUGGAUAAGAAUCAUAUUAGCCAUCUAUCCUUGGAAUGGUCUAUAGCUAACGACAAUAGCAUCGACUUCCAAGUUGAGUUAGAUAUACUCAGCAACUUAGAACCUCACCAAGACCUGGAAUCGUUGUCAAUAAAGGGUUAUAAAGGAAACAUAUUUCCGGAAUGGGUGGGGAAUUUUUCCUACCGCUACAUGACAAGAAUAAAUUUAUUGAAGUGUAACAACUGUUGCAUGCUUCCUUCACUUGGGCAACUACCGUCUCUCAGUCACCUUCAUAUUUCAAAAAUGUAUUCGGUGAAGACUAUUGAUGCAGGCUUUUAUAAGAAGGAUGAUUGUUCAUCUGUGACGCCCUUUCCAUCCCUUAAAUAUCUAAGCAUUUCUAAUAUGCCUUGUUGGGAGGUGUGGAAUGCAUUUGAUUCAGAAGCUUUUCCUGUGCUUAAGGUUCUUUGUAUAGAAGAAUGCCCCAACCUAAAGGGAGAUCUGCCAAAUCACCUUCCCGCUCUGCAAACACUCCGCAUUAGAAAUUGCGAGCUUCUUGACUGUUCUGUCCCAGGGCCUCGCACCCUUCGAACAUUAGAGAUACAGAAAUGCAAGACAGUAGCGUUUCAUGAGUUUCCACAUUUGGUGAGACGUAUAGAUGUAGAAGGAGGCCCAAUGGUGGAGUCCAUGAUGGAGGCCAUCUCUAACUUCCAACCUACUUGCCUGUACUUUUUGAGAUUACGAAAUUGUUCGUCAGCCAUAUCUUUUAGAGGUGGUCGUCUUCCUGCGUCUUUGAAAAUUCUUGAUAUCACAGGUAUAAACAAACUGAAAUUCCCGUUGCAAGACAAACACGAAUUACUGGAAUCACUUUCAAUAUAUAAUAGUUGUGAUUCGCUCACGUCUCUUCCAUUGGCCAUCUUCCCAAAUCUCACUAGUCUUCGAAUCACAAACUGUGAAAAUAUGGAAUCACUUUUGGUCUCAGGGUCAGAGAUUUCGAAGAGACUGGAGUCUUUUGAAAUUCGCCACUGUCCCAACUUUGUAUCAUUCCCGGGAGAAGGAUUUUGUAUGCCCAAUUUGACUAGGUUCCGUGUUUAUAAUUGUGAAAAGUUGAAAUCGUUGCCCGAUCAGAUGGGAACUCUUUUCCCAAAGAUGGAAUAUCUUUACAUAUCAAACUGUCAACAAAUUGAGUCAUUCCCUGGAGGAGGUAUGCCACCUAACUUGAGAACAGUUAAUAUAAUAGAUUGUGUGAAACUACUGAGCAACCAAGCAUGGGUAUGCAUGGACAUGGUUACCUCUCUCAAUGUGUGGGGUCCAUGUGAUGGAAUCAAAUCCUUCCCAAAGGAGAGUUUGCUGCCUCCCUCCCUUGUGUCUCUAGAUCUAUUUAAUUUGUGUAGUCUGGAAAUGUUGGAUUGCAAGGGCCUUCUCCAUCUCACAUCACUCCAAGAAUUAAACAUUAGAAGCUGUCAAAAGCUGGAGAAUAUUGCGGGAGAAAAGCUGCCUCUCUCUCUAAUAAAAUUAACGAUUGAUGAAUGUCCCUUGCUGAAACAACGAUGCCACAAAAAGGAUCGUCAAAUUUGGCCUAAAAUCUGCCAUGUCCGUGGAAUAAAGAUUGACGGUAGAUGGAUUUAACGAGCAUGGAUGAUGAGAAGGUAAUUCUCCUUAUGAGUAGGUAACCAUGAAAAACUAUUUUUGUCUGUUAUCUUUCAUUUCUUGUCUUUAUCCUUUCAAAUUUAACUUAAUUUAUAUUGCAAUGAACCAGUCUUAAAUUAGUUAAUUGCAGUUUCAUACUUGACUGGAUUUGCAAGUGUGAAGGAAAGCUAACAUUUUGUAUAUAUGUUAUUUAGCGUGAGCAUUCAUGUCAUUUUCGAUUAAACGUAGUCACUGCAGAAGUGAGUAAUGGUCUUUUAUUUUUCUUAACAGUUUGUUUCUUUGUGGUCAGUGUCAAGAUUCUUCUUAGUACUAUAGUGAAUAUGGGAGACAGAUAAUUUUCACUGAAAUUGCAUUUAAAGGGGGUAAAUUGAAUUAAUGUUAUCCAUUCAUUUGAGGUCAAAAUUAAAUUAAUGACUAGAAGGGUGGUAUUUGUUUUUCAGAAAUGUUGUAUUGCCUUGGAGAAACUGCACCGGUCCAUUUUACUGUACUGCCCUCUUGGAGAUCAUCACUAUAUUAUUUGACUUUUGGAUUUGAGUUGAAAGCAUCUGAAAGCUAUAUCGCAGCAUGCAGAGGUUGAAUUUCUCAUACGGCUUAUUAUGCAUUUGAAAUGCUGAUAUUGACUGUAUAUGAUGAAAGGAGUGAAUCCCGUAUCAUAACUAUUGUUUUGCACUCACUCCAAUGCACUGAAUGAGAAAGAACUGGAAGAAAGGGUAUCUUCCAUUCAAAUAUUUUUAAAAUGUCAUAAAUUCAUAAUAUUGUCAUAUUUCUUUACUUUAUCAGGAUGCAUACUUGUAACCAGCUAAACAUUUCAUCUAAAACUGAUAAGCUUUUAUCUUACAG